Molecule: ribosomal RNA, 468 nt
Filed under: uncultured bacterium
Lineage: Bacteria
Description: partial 16S ribosomal RNA
Rfam family: Bacterial small subunit ribosomal RNA
Source: RNAcentral
GACGAACGCUGGCGGCGUGCUUAACACAUGCAAGUCGAACGGAAAGGCCCUGCUUUUGUGGGGUGCUCGAGUGGCGAACGGGUGAGUAACACGUGAGUAACCUGCCCUUGACUUUGGGAUAACUUCAGGAAACUGGGGCUAAUACCGGAUAGGAGCUCCUGCUGCAUGGUGGGGGUUGGAAAGUUUCGGCGGUUGGGGAUGGACUCGCGGCUUAUCAGCUUGUUGGUGGGGUAGUGGCUUACCAAGGCUUUGACGGGUAGCCGGCCUGAGAGGGUGACCGGCCACAUUGUGACUGAGAUACGGCCCAUACUCCUACGGGAGGCAGCAGUGGGGGAUAUUGCACAAUGGGCGGAAGCCUGAUGCAGCAACGCCGCGUUCGGGAUGACGGCCUUCGGGUUGUAAACCGCUUUCGCCUGUGACGAAGCGUGAGUGACGGUAAUGGGUAAAGAAGCACCGGCUAACUACGUG